GACGAACGCUGGCGGCGUGCCUAAUACAUGCAAGUCGAGCGGACCAAACAGGAGCUUGCUCUUGUUUGGUUAGCGGCGGACGGGUGAGUAACACGUGGGUAACCUGCCCGUAAGACCGGGAUAACUCCGGGAAACCGGAGCUAAUACCGGAUAACACCGAAGACCGCAUGGUCUUUGGUUGAAAGGCGGCUUCGGCUGCCACUUACGGAUGGGCCCGCGGCGCAUUAGCUAGUUGGUGAGGUAACGGCUCACCAAGGCGACGAUGCGUAGCCGGCCUGAGAGGGUGACCGGCCACACUGGGACUGAGACACGGCCCAGACUCCUACGGGAGGCAGCAGUAGGGAAUCUUCCGCAAUGGACGAAAGUCUGACGGAGCGACGCCGCGGGAGCGAAGAAGGUCUUCGGAUCGUAAAGCUCGGUUGUUAGGGAAGAAGAAGCGCCGUUCGAACAGGGCGGCGCGGUGACGGUACCUAACGAGAAAGCCCCGGCUAACUACGUG
RNAcentral lists this ribosomal RNA (499 nucleotides) under uncultured bacterium. RNAcentral describes it as "partial 16S ribosomal RNA". It matches the Rfam family "Bacterial small subunit ribosomal RNA", at positions 28 to 507 of the family's 1533-position model. The record is from RNAcentral.